Molecule: long non-coding RNA, 490 nt
Organism: Galeopterus variegatus (Sunda flying lemur)
Lineage: Eukaryota; Metazoa; Chordata; Mammalia; Dermoptera; Cynocephalidae
Exons: 3
Source: RefSeq, a predicted model, not a curated record
AGCAGCUAAUAAGGAGACAUUUGCAAGACAAGUUGAAAGCCUACAAUUACAUCCAAACUGCAAAGGACUGGAGUAGCACACUGAGCACACUACAGCUGGCUCCCAGUUUUCCACUUGUAUAGAAACUAGCCUUGAAGACUUUCUUUGGAGGACCCACACAUCCAUCCACAGGAUGGCCUGGGCUCCAGAGUGGAGAUGCAGAAGGAGGAGAGAGGCCGCAGACUCAGGGAGAAGGAAGGCAAGAAGGGGAAAAGGGGAAAGGAGAGGAUAUCCCUGCUGUCUUGAUUACUGAGCACCUGUGCAUGCACCCAGCCCCCUCUAGCCUGGCCCAGGCAGGCGGUGGGCAUUUACUAAGUGCACACUAGAGCUGGUGGUUAUGCUGAUGCGAUGACGGCACAGUACUCGGUCUGUAAAGUCCAGACUUCUGUCUCUCCCACCCCCUGGGAAUUUCAUAAAUAAAUCUCUGGACCCGUUCCAAGAAGAAUUUCAA